RNAcentral lists this unclassified non-coding RNA (412 nucleotides) under soil metagenome. RNAcentral's name for it is "partial contains 5.8S ribosomal RNA, internal transcribed spacer 2, and large subunit ribosomal RNA". The stretch from base 1 to 122 matches the Rfam family "5.8S ribosomal RNA", at positions 35 to 154 of the family's 154-position model. The record is from RNAcentral.
GAUGAAGAACGUAGCGAAAUGCGAUACUUGGUGUGAAUUGCAGAAUCCCGUGAACCAUCGAGUCUUUGAACGCAAGUUGCGCCCGAAGCCGUCAGGCCGAGGGCACGCCUGCCUGGGCGUCACACGCCGUUGCCCCCCCGCGCCCCGCACCCAACUCUUUGGGAGCGACCGCGGGGCGGGCUGAUGAUGGCCUCCCGUGCGCUCCGCCGCGCGGUUGGCCCAAAUACCGAGUCCCCGGCGACGUGCGCCACGACGAUCGGUGGUUGAGAGACCUCUGUCGCAAGUCGUGCGCGCCCGUCGCGUCACGCGGGCUCGCAUAGCGCCUCGCGCCGCAUCCGGUGCGGAGCUUUCAACGCGACCCCAGGUCAGGCGGGGUUACCCGCUGAAUUUAAGCAUAUCAAUAAGCGGAGGA